Molecule: long non-coding RNA, 480 nt
Filed under: Rattus norvegicus (Norway rat)
Lineage: Eukaryota; Metazoa; Chordata; Mammalia; Rodentia; Muridae
Description: long non-coding RNA NONRATT021398
Source: RNAcentral
AGGUGGUGAUGUGAAUCAGAGGAACCGACACUUGGCUGAGUCUGUUCCUCCUUUGCCUCUAGAACUUGUUCCUGGCAUUCUGCAUCCUGUUCACGGUUAUCUGUAUCCUGAAGAUUGUUGUGUCUGUGGCUUCCCUGGGACUAAGUCUCCGGAGUAUGUGUGGCCGGAACUCCCAGGUCUUGAAUGAUGAAGAGACAGAGAAGAAGCUUCUUGGGGGGGAUUCGGCACCGGCCUCCCCGACCAAAGAGAAGAUUCCUGUUACCCCAUGAGCUGUCCAAACCCACAUGUGUCCCUGUCCAGAGUAAUCCAGGGAGAACGGCACUGAUCCUAAGGCCUCUUCUGGCCCCGCAGCACAUGCUUACUUCUGAUGUAGCCACUGUCCAGCCCUUUUUCUCUUCCUGUCUCCCCGCUGUCCUCACACCAAUGUCCUUUCUUCCAUGAACAGAUAUUAUGUCAUUUUCUCCAAUGCUGAUAAAGCAG